AAAGGAAAAAAUAGAGAAACAGGAAAAAAAAAUGUUGCUUUCACAGACACACUUUUCACUAGGGAUACCCCAGCAGGACUGGCUCCUGUUAAGUAUGUGUCUAGUGACUAGGAUAAACGGAGAUAUGAGGUUAAUAAUGGAAAUGGUCAUUUUAGAGGGCAUGGUCUAGGUGUUCUUAUGGGAAGCAUUCGAAACAUAUAUGACCACUUAGGGAAGAUGUAUGCAUUUAUUAAAUUUAUUCUGCCCCACCAAGAAAUUUCUAUUUUUUUCCCCAUUUAUUCAGAGCUUUGGACAUAUACCUAAAGUUUCUCAAAAAAUUAAUCUGCAUUAAUUCUGA
This is a non-coding RNA of Pelobates cultripes (western spadefoot toad), 337 nucleotides long. NCBI's taxonomy places the organism in Eukaryota, Metazoa, Chordata, Amphibia, Anura, Pelobatidae. The record is from the annotation of a GenBank genome assembly.